This 3106-nucleotide long non-coding RNA is filed under the name Capsella rubella. Its description in RNAcentral is "long non-coding RNA (CRUB_LNC000453)". The record is from RNAcentral. Lineage: Eukaryota; Viridiplantae; Streptophyta; Magnoliopsida; Brassicales; Brassicaceae.
AAGAGAAAACACCCCCAGAGAAAAAAUCAAACCCACUACUAUCAGCCAUAUUGUCUUCGCCUUCACUUGGUGUCUCGUUACGUAAGAGAGCUUGUACACGAAGCCCGUGACUUGAUCCAUUACUGAUUCUCAGCUUCGAGAAUUGCCUUUUGGGUAGCGAACUACAAAACCAGCACGAAGAAGACUGGGAAGAAGUGGGCAGCGAAGAUUUGAGGAGAGGCCUGGUCUGUAAAUUGGGGAUGUGUGUUGAAGUAAAGAGAGCUUCCAUGGUGAGAUUUCAAUACAGAGGAGAAUAAGAUUGUAGCUUGAAGAGUCUGAUCUUCAGUCGACUUUUAAUACAGAAAACUAUAGAUCUUCAAAAUGAAAUAUGAAUCAAACGAUAACUUGAAACGACGUUCAUAAAAAGCAGAAUCACUUCUCAUGUGUUAGAAUCCUUGGAAGGAUCUCAACUAACAAUGAGGAACAUUCCCUAAACAAACUAGAGAGGAAGAAGAAGAAGUUUACAAUUCUCAGAUUUUUUGCAUAAUGAAGAAGACGAUGAACAACUUGAUCUUAAGCUUUAGCAACUUCAGCUCAUACCAAUCACAUCCCUCCACGUAUCUUUUCUUCUUUCAACCUAUCACUAAGCUCCACGUGUCCUCAUAUAUGUGCUACUAAAUUCCUAUAUCAAAUCUCCCCUGUUUGCAGAACCUUGACCACAAGGUUCAGAGUUUAAAAGUUGUCUCUGCAAAAUAGAGAGAAACUCCCAUGUAACUUCCUCCAUAGUUUCAUUAGUCCAUUGAACUAACGCCAUUGUGAUGCAUUCUCUUGUAUGUUAACCAGCAGCUUCCUAUGAUUCAGUCUUCAACAAAUGCAUAAACUGCACAUAGCUGAACUUGAUAUGCCAUGACAACUGAUUAUAAUAUCACCACAUGAAAGAACAAGGAAUCCACCAUGAUUGCAUUGCUGGCCCGAAUAGAACAUAUGCAUUCACCAUGGAGUUGCAUCUUCAAAUAGAAACCCUCAAGUGACGUUAGUACCAUGGUAGCCAUGGACAGAACAUAUGCAUUCACUAAAAUUACUCUGCAAGUCAAGAAUGCUCCCAAGUAGAUACAACCACAGUUUUAUUACUUCAGUAGGUUUGCACCAUGGUAGCUGUCCUUGUGUGCCUACGUAGCCUGAUCCCAGGGUCAAAAGUUUUACCCGGUGUGACGUCAAGCAUUCGUUUUAUUGUGGCAAAUCCUAUUUUAACAACUCGAACCACACAUUGAUACAUCACUUCCACAGUCUUGGCAUCACAGUCAAGCUUGUAAACAACCAAUCCCCUGCUGCAAAAGAGCUGCACCCAUCGAUCACUAUGUUCCCAAACAUAAUAUUCAGAAAGUACUAGAGAACACCAUCUCUUCCAUAGGCAAUGUGAAAUGUGAUGUUGCUUUAGUUUAAGCUUAGAUGGUUUUCCCGUCUUUACUAAAGGAUUAGCUUCUAGAGGCCGUGAUGCUUCACCACAAAGAAAAACAAGCGAUGUGUCGUGGAGAGUCACAACUCCUAACUCCAUGACCUGAAAUUCACCCACAACAUGUGUAGCUAGUAAUCUUCCACGUUCCCACACACGAUUCGCUUGACAAGAAACAUCAACUGCUUUAUAUACUCGUAACCUUAGAUCUCUAACUCAUGCUUCCAUUCUUCUAAAUCAACAUUAGAGUACCUAGGUAAAGUACCAAGUCGUCUUUUCCAAUUCUGAGAGUUUGUGAAUGGAGAAGUAAACAUCUUGGUCUCAUAGAGUCUUUCAAUUAUACCACCAGUGUGAACUUGACUUAGCCCAUCCCACAUAUCUUGUACACAUAGUAACCCAUCUGCAUCACUCCUAUGUCUUCUAUAUAUGAACAUCCAAGAUGUAGUCCCAUUUGAUAUCGUCUUUGUUCCCAAUUUUUUUUCAUGUCGAAACGUCGUAUCGAACCGUGGUGCUUCAUAAACUUCACCUACAACGACGAAGCUCACAUACCCAGAAUGGUGUAGCUUCCAUAGUCUCUCAUUCUCUUGUUUAUAUUUAAACAUCCAAGACUUCAAGCCUUUUCUCUGUUUCAUCAAUUUUAGACUUUCUUUGGCCUCAUACCUUUUACCAAACAGUUGGCGUGCAAUGUGAUUGUUAGUGAAACUUGUUGAUUCAUCCUUUGCCUUGACGGAUGAAACAAAUGAUGCUUCUUCAUGAUCAAACAAGUUAUCAAAACCGAUCACAGAUUGAAAAUCCUCACUCACAUCCGUUGCUUCAUCUUGAAAUCGAAGGCUAGGUUCCAGUUUAGAGAUCGGUACCUGAAAUUGUGGAAUUGAGUCUUCCUCUAUGAUUUCUCCGUGUACCAAAUUUUCUUCUAAGAAUGCAUCUAGCGACUGUGAAGCAUCCUCCAUCUGAUGUUGUAAAACCAAGUCUGUAUGCUGAGCACAAUGCGAUUCCAAAAUUGAAAAUGUAGUCUCUGUCUCCAUCUUAUCUGCACAUGCUCUCGAUUCUAUUUGCUGGAUAGAUACUACACAAUUCGAUGAAUCUGUUUCCUCAGCUUCGGAUUCCGAUUUUAAUCCAUCAGAAGGGAGUUGAUCUACUUCACCGUUGUGCAAUCGAAUCACUCUGAGCAUCUCAGCAAAAUACUUCUCCGUCUCCGAAUAUUGUUUCACGAGAGUAUCGUACAGCUUGUCUAAGCGCAACACCAACGCCGUUUCACCGUCCAUAGCUUCGUUCACCAGCGUCUCAGGUCUUGUUUCCUCCAUUGAUUCCGAGGAUACGAGUGGCUCUGAUACCUUUAAUACAGAAAACUAUAGAUCUUCAAAAUGAAAUAUGAAUCAAACGAUAACUUGAAACGACGUUCAUAAAACGCAGAAUCACUUCUCAUGUGUUAGAAUCCUUGGAAGGAUCUCAACUAACAAUGAGGAACAUUCCCUAAACAAACUAGAGAGGAAGAAGAAGAAGUUUACAAUUCUCAGAUUUUUUGCAUAAUGAAGAAGACGAUGAACAACUUGAUCUUAAGCUUUAGCAACUUCAGCUCAUACCAAUCACAUCCCUCCACGUAUCUUUUCUUCUUUCAACCUAUCACUAAGCUCCACGUGUCCUCAUAUAUGUGCUACUAAAUUCCUAUAUCAA